Siniperca chuatsi (mandarin fish) is the source of this 3226-nucleotide long non-coding RNA. RefSeq lists it as uncharacterized. The record is from RefSeq and is a predicted model, not a curated record. Lineage: Eukaryota; Metazoa; Chordata; Actinopteri; Centrarchiformes; Sinipercidae. The transcript has 2 exons.
GUCUGCAAUGCGAUUUGCCUUUUAAUUAUACCUAAUUGUUAAACUGCCUCUCAGUGACCCACAGCGUUGCUUUGUCAUCCGUGGAUGGGGUUGUUUGUUUCUUCCCUACAUAAUUGGUGGCCAAAGGACUUAGAACAUCUCUCACAGGUAUAUUAAUCCACCGCAACUCCAGUUGCUCUGCUAAUCCUCCACUGACACAAAUGUACAUUCACACGAAGACACACACAGUCACAUGUGACCAGCUUACGCAAUGAAGCCAAGGCUUUAUAUACUACCUAUGGGCACUGGUCUCCCUCAAGGGAGAUCAUUACAGUGCAGGUGUGUGUCGGCCUAUCUAUCUGAGCGAGGGAGCGAGGAGUGUGUCUUUGGACACAGGGGAGAGCUGCUGCUGUUGCCACGUUCAUCCUGGUGGAGGAGACCGAGGCCAGAGAGACACAGAGGGCGAGGGAGCAAAGGGAUCCACAGUGAUAAAGUUGCCCAGCAGAAAGUCCUGAAGGCUGGUUGCAGAGGGGUUUUUUGUGGUCUCAGCUGCGAAGCACUGGAGAGAACAACAACCAUGUUUUUUCGCAUCCCUCGACUGACCCCUGGAUAUAUUAGAUAUCUCCAGACUCAGGCAGCCCAGACUGUGCUGCAGAGCCGGGAGGCCCCUGUGAUGUCGCGCAUGGCCAUCCUGCUGGGUCUCACAGGGAUUGGCAUGUCUGGCUACAGCUCCCGCCAACUCACACUGCACUACAAGCCGUCAAGUCACCUCUUAAGAUGAAACGGAUGGAGGGGGCACACACCCACACCCACACACACACACAAAUAUUUAACUUAAAGCUAAAGUCUGACAUUUUGGGAAAUAGGCUAUGCUUCUUUGGACUGUGUCUUGGCUCUGAGGAGUUGCCAGGCAACCAGCAGAGACUCCAGGAAGUCAGUGGUUGUGGUUAAGAAAUCAUCGCCACAUAACUCCCCUUUCUCAUCAAGAAAGCAAAUAAGUGUAUCUCCCAAAAUGUCGAACUAUUCCUUUAAAAGCAACAUGGAAAGACCAACAAGAUUGAAGGAAGCGAUGCUACCAGGUUUUGUUUUUGUUUUUCUCUGUGCAUCCCUUCUAAUAGACUAUGUGUGGUUCAAAGCCAAUGUCAUCCUUGUUCUGCAUUUCAUUGUGAUUUUGUUGUGUUUGAGAUUGUUGCCUUAAGGUUCUGUUUGUGCAGUAAAAAGCAAAAAAGAAAAGUCUCCCUGUUAAAAACUACCCCUCCUUCUAAGCACAGUGCUUUUUUUCUUGUGACUAAUAUGCUGUGGAACAGAAAGGCAGCUUUUGAUGUUUCUGAUGAACUUGGCUGAUGCUGUAAUUGAACCACAGUCCUUGCCCAUGCCCUGUGCCUUAUCAUGGGAGUAUUCAGUCAGAAUUUACCAUUCAAAUCAUUUUUUAAAACACACCAAUGGUCUUUAAAGACACUUUUCUAAAUGCAGCUUCAGCUGAACCCCAAGAAGUCUCUUCCAAAGUCCUUGGUCUUUUAAUCACUUUUCCUCCGGCAUUUUAGCAAUUUCCAUGAUGUAACACAGAGCUCCCAGGUCCCUACCUCUUUUGGAGGGCCGCAAGUGUUGUGAUGACUUAACCCGUUUACUCUUUUUGGAUUUCUUGGGUAAGAUUUCACAAGAGAGACAGAGAGAUAUCACAUCAGAAGCAGCUUCAACUCAGAGAGUCAAGGCUAUUAUAUUUCAGUCGGAUUUCAUUCUUCAUUCUGGAGUUGACAGUAUGAGUUUUGGCCUUUCUGAUAUCUCUCUCUCCUUUGUUUGCGUGACAAAAUACCAGAGGAGUACAUAAGGAAUUGCUCUCAAUCUGUUUGGCUGCGCUCAGCUCCUGAAAAUGCACAGAGAAAAUACUAUACAAACAGAAGCAUAAGAAAAGUGUGACCUUUGAUGUGUGAACAAUGCUACUUUGCACUUUUUAGUGUACAUAUCUUGUACAUAAUCAUGUACAUAUCACUUUGAUGCUGUAUGAGAUUAGUAGAGCAAGACAUUGAGUGCUACCAGCCUGUGUUGUGAGCUGGACAGGGCAGCAUCUAGCUGGAUUGACACACGGCACUGCUGAGUUGUUGUCAGGCAGAGGAACCAGGACAGCCACCCUGGAUACCACCUGAACCAACAUGUGAAUCCACCCGGAUCUCUCCCAGUUGCACACCCACUGUCAGACAAGAUGAAUGUAGCUGAAUGAUCACUAUGGUCUCUUAACAUAGGUAGACUUUUUUGGCUGUAAAUCUGUUGUGCAAAAUGCUUUGUAAUGGAAAAAAGCUUGACUUUGACAGCAUAUGAAUGUAUCACUGACGAAGAAUGAAAAUGAGCAGUUAUACUGUAAUUGUAAAGAUGAUUGUGUGUCCUAUCCUGGUUUAACAAAAGAGAGGUUAUGUAUAUAGUUUGAAUAUAUAAGAAAAGAUUAGCAUAUUAACAGGUUAUAAGGUGUGUGCAGUGAUACAGUGAUCCCUCAUAGAUCCUCUCACAAUACAGUCUUUUUUAGACCAGCUUACACUUACAUAUGAGGGGUCACUAACCCUGAAAUGGAGAAGUGUGGUUAUUUGUGUAAUUUGAGCUUGUGACUGGGAUUCUAAUUGAACAAGGGAUUUCAAAUGGUUGUAUGAUAUUGAUGAUGGAAGGAUGAUUUUGAAAAGUAUAGUGUUUAUCGUUUAUUGUUGCUGCAUAGCCAGUUUUGCUUGUGUGUUAGAUUUUUGUUUGUCGACUGUUAGUCAUCAUCAUGGUACAAAGGCAUAAGAUGUCUCAAAUGCCACACAACCAUUUUAUGAGUUUGUAAUGUGUACAUUUAUUACAAUCAUAUGUAAAUUUAUACAGAUUUUCAGGAGUUUGUGCUGUGAAUUAAUUACAGGGAAAUUUGAUCUUACAAAAGACACACAUUAUUUACUAUACAAAUUUGCAUAGGUGUAUUUAUACAGUAUAAGGGUGUUGCAUAUUUAGUAAGUUUGUAUAUCAUAUGGGUUGAGUAGUAAGUUAAAUUCAGUUGGCAUUAGACUUGUGCCGAUCGGAUCGUCUAUCUGUGAUCUCUGGUAAUGACAACAUAAUGAUAUGAAAAUAUAGAGGAUUACCCAACACUUGGUGGCAUUAUUCUUUAGAUUUGCCUUAGUGACGUGAAGCAUUAUAAAUGCAUAACAAAGCACAUUUGAACAUGCAUUAUUUUAUUUGAUUUACUCACUCUGUAUGCAAGAAUAAAUCAAAAAGAUUGUAAACAACUGGG